RNAcentral lists this small RNA (104 nucleotides) under uncultured Prevotella sp. Its description in RNAcentral is "RT-5 RNA". It matches the Rfam family "RT-5 RNA". Rfam says of the family: Clostridium (Firmicutes). Environment (Cow rumen (57)) The record is from RNAcentral. Lineage: Bacteria; Pseudomonadati; Bacteroidota; Bacteroidia; Bacteroidales; Prevotellaceae.
UGCGCCUGCAACGGAGGCAGCCUUAUCCAUCUAUUAUGUGUUUUGCAGGCAACAGGGUGAGGUAUCCUCUCGUGAUCCGCAAUUUUGCGGAUUCAAAAUCCUUC